AUUGAACGCUGGCGGCAUGUCUUACACAUGCAAGUCGAACGGUAACGGGUCCUUCGGGAUGCCGACGAGUGGCGAACGGGUGAGUAAUAUAUCGGAACGUGCCCAGUAGUGGGGGAUAACUGCUCGAAAGAGCAGCUAAUACCGCAUACGACCUGAGGGUGAAAGGGGGGGAUCGCAAGACCUCUCGCUAUUGGAGCGGCCGAUAUCAGAUUAGCUAGUUGGUGGGGUAAAGGCCUACCAAGGCAACGAUCUGUAGUUGGUCUGAGAGGACGACCAGCCACACUGGGACUGAGACACGGCCCAGACUCCUACGGGAGGCAGCAGUGGGGAAUUUUGGACAAUGGGCGCAAGCCUGAUCCAGCAAUGCCGCGUGCAGGAAGAAGGCCUUCGGGUUGUAAACUGCUUUUGUCAGGGAAGAAAUCUUCUGGGCUAAUACCCCGGGAGGAUGACGGUACCUGAAGAAUAAGCACCGGCUAACUACGUG
This 484-nucleotide ribosomal RNA is filed under the name uncultured bacterium. Its description in RNAcentral is "partial 16S ribosomal RNA". It matches the Rfam family "Bacterial small subunit ribosomal RNA", at positions 30 to 507 of the family's 1533-position model. The record is from RNAcentral.